GGAGAUCUUGGAUGGCCAACUGCCCUUUGGUUAGUUGGUUUUUUUGCAUAGCUAGUAUCUAGAUGAUCAAGUUGGACAUGCCCCCUCCCUUAUGAGCCUAAGCUAUGCUAGAACUUUUUUAUCAACGCUUGAUCAAUUGAAUGGAGGCCACAAUCAAUCUGGGGUGCCUCUACUGGAGGGGGAGAAUUCAUAUCUUGAAGCUUAGUCACAUAGGCUCACAAAACAAAGGUUUUAAUCACUUCUAAUAUAUCUUUGCAAGAGGAGGGG
RNAcentral lists this long non-coding RNA (267 nucleotides) under Elaeis guineensis (African oil palm). Its description in RNAcentral is "long non-coding RNA (EGUI_LNC022682)". Lineage: Eukaryota; Viridiplantae; Streptophyta; Magnoliopsida; Arecales; Arecaceae. The record is from RNAcentral.